GCUCUUUGACAUGGCAUGAUGAAUUUCUGCAAGCUCGGAAGUCAUCUGCUCUCUAUAAAACUACAUCUCAAUGAUGGAAGAAUAAAGAAGCAAAUUUGCCAACCAUCGUUUUUUGCCCAUCCUUAUGCCCACCCACCUAAUCGAAUGACAAAUGUCAUUUCUCUUAAGGGCCAAUUACAUAAAAGUCCACUUGGAGACAUUUUCUUCCAUUUAGAUCCACCCAAACAUUUUUACCCACAUAAGUCCACCCAAGCCUAAAUACAGUCUUAUAUUAGGUAUUAAAGUUCAACAAAAUUACAGACUGCCAUCCAACCAAAAAAUUAGAAUUUCUCUCUUAUAUUUACAAAAAUGCCACUAAUUUAAAAAGUCAACAACCACAAAUAGUCUUCAGUUGACCUCCGGCGAGGUCUCCGGCCGACCUCCGACGAACUUUCCGGCCAACCUCCGACGAACUUUUCGGCCGACCAUCUGUGAGGAUUCUAGCGACCACAAAACCUACUACCACUGACAACAAAAGAUACUACUACCGACAAAGAAAGCUACUACCACUGACAACAAAAGAUACUACCAAUAGCAAAAAGAAUUACUGCCACCAGCAAAGAAAGCUCCUACUGAUAGCAACAAAAGCUACUACCACCAGCAAAGAAAGCUACUACCACUGACAACAAAAUAUACUACCGAUAGUAAAAAACACUACUGCCAUCAGCAAAUAAAGCUACUACCGAUAGCAACAAAAACUACUACCCAUGGCAAAGAAAGCUACUACCGAUAGCAACAAAGCUACUACAGCCAGCAAAGAAAGCUACUACCACUGACAACAAAAGAUACUACCGAUAGCAAAAAAAGCUACUGCCACCAACAAAGAAAGCCACUACCGAUAGCAACAAAAGCUACUACCUAUGACAAAGAAAGCUACACCGCCACCAACAAAAAAUACUAUUGUCAGCAACAAAAAAAUACCACCGCCAGCAGCCAGAGAUACUACUACCACCAACAAAAGAUACUACUACAACCAAUAAAAGAUACUACCGAGCAUAUGAAAAGUUACUGUCACCAACAAAAAAGCUACUAUCAUCAGCUAUAAAAGAUACUACCGAGUAAAUGAAAAACUACUACGAGGUAGAACAAAAGCUACUGUCACCACCUAUAAAAGAUACUAUCGAACAUAUGAAAAACUACUACCAAGCAGAACAAAAGCUACUGUCACAAACAAAAAAAGCUACUAUCACCAACUAUAAAAGCUACCACCCCCAGCUACAAAAGUUACUACAGUGAGAUUUCCAAUGACCUCUGACGACGAAGUCACAAAAGAUAUUGUCGUUAGCAACAAAAGCUACUACCGCAAGUAACAAAAGCUACUACCAGCAUCAACAAAAACUAUUACCUCCAAACAAAGCCAAUAGCUAAUGUUUUCGGCAACAAAAUCUACUACCAAGCAUAAUGAAAGCUAUUACCAAUGUGUCAAAAAUAUACAGAACAGUCAUCUCCAAUAGGAGCGACAUUUUCGAAGCGGCGUCGUCCAAGACUUGUCAUCGAGUCAGCGGCGGCAUCCAAGCUGUGAGGAUCUCGAAUCGCCGGCGGAAGGCGAUCAUAGCCGUCAAGGACCAGACGAGCCACGAGGAUGAGCCGUCGAGCCAUAUGGUUUCAGAGAUCCAGUCGAGAUCAAAUCAGAAGUUGUCAUCGAUGGAAUUGGACGCAAUAGACUCGAGGUCAAGGUGCGUCGUCGUCGAUCCGGCGACGUCGAGGUCGAGGAGUCGUAGUCGAGCCGGUGGCGUCGAGGUCGAGGUCAAGGCUUCGUCGUCGAUCUGGCGACAUCGAGAUCGAGGCAUCGUCGAUCUGGCGACGUCGAGGUCGAGCCUGCUUCCUUGUCAUCUAUCAAGCGGCGCCGAGCUAUCGUUGUCGAGCUGGUGUUGGCCUGAGACACCGCCAUGGCCGGAUAUUCGAGACCGGAGAAGAGAGGGAGGAGGAAGACGAUGAGCCAGAGAGAGAGAGAGAGAGAGAGAGAGAGAGAGAGAGAGAGAGAGAGAGAGAGAGAGAGAGAGAGAG
Molecule: long non-coding RNA, 2046 nt
Filed under: Fragaria vesca (wild strawberry)
Lineage: Eukaryota; Viridiplantae; Streptophyta; Magnoliopsida; Rosales; Rosaceae
Description: long non-coding RNA (FVES_LNC005562)
Source: RNAcentral